RNAcentral lists this ribosomal RNA (1352 nucleotides) under uncultured bacterium. RNAcentral describes it as "bacterial SSU rRNA". It matches the Rfam family "Bacterial small subunit ribosomal RNA", at positions 28 to 1381 of the family's 1533-position model. The record is from RNAcentral.
AUUGAACGCUGGCGGCAUGCCUUACACAUGCAAGUCGAACGGCAGCACGGGGGCAACCCUGGUGGCGAGUGGCGAACGGGUGAGUAACAUAUCGGAACGUGCCCUGGAGUGGGGGAUAACUAGUCGAAAGAUUAGCUAAUACCGCAUACGAUCUACGGAUGAAAGUGGGGGAUCGCAAGACCUCAUGCUCGUGGAGCGGCCGAUAUCUGAUUAGCUAGUUGGUGGGGUAAAGGCCUACCAAGGCAUCGAUCAGUAGCUGGUCUGAGAGGACGACCAGCCACACUGGGACUGAGACACGGCCCAGACUCCUACGGGAGGCAGCAGUGGGGAAUUUUGGACAAUGGGCGCAAGCCUGAUCCAGCAAUGCCGCGUGAGUGAAGAAGGCCUUCGGGUUGUAAAGCUCUUUUGUCAGGGAAGAAACGGUGAGGGCUAAUAUCCUUUGCUAAUGACGGUACCUGAAGAAUAAGCACCGGCUAACUACGUGCCAGCAGCCGCGGUAAUACGCAGGGUGCAAGCGUUAAUCGGAAUUACUGGGCGUAAAGCGUGCGCAGGCGGUUGUGCAAGACCGAUGUGAAAUCCCCGGGCUUAACCUGGGAAUGGCAUUGGUGACUGCACGGCUAGAGUGUGUCAGAGGGGGGUAGAAUUCCACGUGUAGCAGUGAAAUGCGUAGAGAUGUGGAGGAAUACCGAUGGCGAAGGCAGCCCCCUGGGAUAACACUGACGCUCAUGCACGAAAGCGUGGGGAGCAAACAGGAUUAGAUACCCUGGUAGUCCACGCCCUAAACGAUGUCAACUAGUUGUCGGGUCUUAAUUGACUUGGUAACGCAGCUAACGCGUGAAGUUGACCGCCUGGGGAGUACGGUCGCAAGAUUAAAACUCAAAGGAAUUGACGGGGACCCGCACAAGCGGUGGAUGAUGUGGAUUAAUUCGAUGCAACGCGAAAAACCUUACCUACCCUUGACAUGGCAGGAAUCCCGGAGAGAUUCGGGAGUGCUCGAAAGAGAACCUGCAUACAGGUGCUGCAUGGCUGUCGUCAGCUCGUGUCGUGAGAUGUUGGGUUAAGUCCCGCAACGAGCGCAACCCUUGUCAUUAGUUGCUACGAAAGGGCACUCUAAUGAGACUGCCGGUGACAAACCGGAGGAAGGUGGGGAUGACGUCAAGUCCUCAUGGCCCUUAUGGGUAGGGCUUCACACGUCAUACAAUGGUACAUACAGAGGGCCGCCAACCCGCGAGGGGGAGCUAAUCCCAGAAAGUGUAUCGUAGUCCGGAUUGCAGUCUGCAACUCGACUGCAUGAAGUUGGAAUCGCUAGUAAUCGCGGAUCAGCAUGUCGCGGUGAAUACGUUCCCGGGUCU